This 497-nucleotide ribosomal RNA is filed under the name uncultured bacterium. RNAcentral describes it as "partial 16S ribosomal RNA". It matches the Rfam family "Bacterial small subunit ribosomal RNA", at positions 28 to 507 of the family's 1533-position model. The record is from RNAcentral.
GAUGAACGCUGGCGGCGUGCCUAAUACAUGCAAGUCGAGCGAACGGACGAGAAGCUUGCUUCUCUGAUGUUAGCGGCGGACGGGUGAGUAACACGUGGAUAACCUACCUAUAAGACUGGGAUAACUUCGGGAAACCGGAGCUAAUACCGGAUAAUAUGUUGAACCGCAUGGUUCAAAAGUGAAAGGCGGUCUUGCUGUCACUUAUAGAUGGAUCCGCGCUGCAUUAGCUAGUUGGUAAGGUAACGGCUUACCAAGGCAACGAUGCAUAGCCGACCUGAGAGGGUGAUCGGCCACACUGGAACUGAGACACGGUCCAGACUCCUACGGGAGGCAGCAGUAGGGAAUCUUCCGCAAUGGGCGAAAGCCUGACGGAGCAACGCCGCGUGAGUGAUGAAGGUCUUCGGAUCGUAAAACUCUGUUAUUAGGGAAGAACAUAUGUGUAAGUAACUGUGCACAUCUUGACGGUACCUAAUCAGAAAGCCACGGCUAACUACGUG